This 781-nucleotide ribosomal RNA is filed under the name Streptomyces hundungensis. RNAcentral describes it as "bacterial SSU rRNA". It matches the Rfam family "Bacterial small subunit ribosomal RNA", at positions 75 to 870 of the family's 1533-position model. The record is from RNAcentral. Lineage: Bacteria; Bacillati; Actinomycetota; Actinomycetes; Kitasatosporales; Streptomycetaceae.
GCCCUUCGGGGUGGAUUAGUGGCGAACGGGUGAGUAACACGUGGGCAAUCUGCCCUUCACUCUGGGACAAGCCCUGGAAACGGGGUCUAAUACCGGAUAACACUCCUCAGAGCAUUCUGGGGGGUUAAAAGCUCCGGCGGUGAAGGAUGAGCCCGCGGCCUAUCAGCUUGUUGGUGGGGUAAUGGCCUACCAAGGCGACGACGGGUAGCCGGCCUGAGAGGGCGACCGGCCACACUGGGACUGAGACACGGCCCAGACUCCUACGGGAGGCAGCAGUGGGGAAUAUUGCACAAUGGGCGAAAGCCUGAUGCAGCGACGCCGCGUGAGGGAUGACGGCCUUCGGGUUGUAAACCUCUUUCAGCAGGGAAGAAGCGAAAGUGACGGUACCUGCAGAAGAAGCGCCGGCUAACUACGUGCCAGCAGCCGCGGUAAUACGUAGGGCGCAAGCGUUGUCCGGAAUUAUUGGGCGUAAAGAGCUCGUAGGCGGCUUGUCACGUCGGAUGUGAAAGCCCGGGGCUUAACCCCGGGUCUGCAUUCGAUACGGGCUAGCUAGAGUGUGGUAGGGGAGAUCGGAAUUCCUGGUGUAGCGGUGAAAUGCGCAGAUAUCAGGAGGAACACCGGUGGCGAAGGCGGAUCUCUGGGCCAUUACUGACGCUGAGGAGCGAAAGCGUGGGGAGCGAACAGGAUUAGAUACCCUGGUAGUCCACGCCGUAAACGUUGGGAACUAGGUGUUGGCGACAUUCCACGUCGUCGGUGCCGCAGCUAACGCAUUAAGUUCCCC